CCUACGGGCGGCAGCAGUGAGGAAUAUUGGUCAAUGGCCGGAAGGCUGAACCAGCCAUGCCGCGUGAAGGUCAGUGCCCUAUGGGCGUUAAACUUCUUUUGUGCGGGAGCAAUAAUGGUCACGUGUGGCCAGACGAGAGUACCGUACGAAUAAACAUCGGCUAACUCCGUGCCAGCAGCCGCUGUAAUACGGGGGAUGCAAGCGUUAUCCGGAUUUAUUGGGGUUAAAGGGUGCGUAGGCUGUGAGGUAAGUCAGCGGUGAAAUGCCCCCGCUCAACGGGGUGAAGUGCCAUUGAUACUGGCUUGCUGGAAUGCGGAUGUCGUGGGAGGAAUGUGUGGUGUAGCGGUGAAAUGCAUAGAUAUCACACAGAACACCGAUUGCGAAGGCAUCUCACGAAUCCGCGAUUGACGCUGAUGCACGAAAGCGUGGGUAUCAAACAGGAUUAGAUACCCCUGUAGUC
Molecule: ribosomal RNA, 460 nt
Filed under: uncultured bacterium
Lineage: Bacteria
Description: partial 16S ribosomal RNA
Rfam family: Bacterial small subunit ribosomal RNA
Source: RNAcentral